GCUGGCGUAGCUCAAUGGUAGAGCACCGGUUUUGUAAACCGGCGGUUGCGAGUUCGAUUCUCGCCGCCAGCUCCA
This 75-nucleotide transfer RNA is filed under the name bacterium. RNAcentral's name for it is "tRNA-Thr". It matches the Rfam family "tRNA". From Rfam's summary of the family: Transfer RNA (tRNA) molecules are approximately 80 nucleotides in length. RNAcentral also lists the same sequence under 2 other names. The record is from RNAcentral.